AUACUUACCUGGCAGGGGAGAUACCAUGAUCAUGAAGGUGGUUCACCCAAGGUGAGGCUCAGCCAUUGCACUGAGGCUGUUGCUGACCUUUGCGAAUUCCCCAAAUGUGGGAAUCUUGACUGCAUAAUUUCUGGUAGUGGGGGACUGCGUCCGCGCUCUCCCCUG
Molecule: small nuclear RNA, 165 nt
Filed under: Oryzias latipes (Japanese medaka)
Lineage: Eukaryota; Metazoa; Chordata; Actinopteri; Beloniformes; Adrianichthyidae
Description: U1 spliceosomal RNA (ENSORLG00015009706.1)
Rfam family: U1 spliceosomal RNA
About the family: U1 is a small nuclear RNA (snRNA) component of the spliceosome (involved in pre-mRNA splicing). Its 5' end forms complementary base pairs with the 5' splice junction, thus defining the 5' donor site of an intron.
Source: RNAcentral